AGUCGCCCGUGACAUCAAGAAACUAGUGAUUAUGCCAAACCACAGGGACAUAUCACAGUUUACUUGCUGUCGCGGGCGGUG
Molecule: microRNA precursor, 81 nt
Organism: Caenorhabditis elegans
Lineage: Eukaryota; Metazoa; Nematoda; Chromadorea; Rhabditida; Rhabditidae
Rfam family: mir-43 microRNA precursor family
Source: Rfam